RNAcentral lists this ribosomal RNA (253 nucleotides) under uncultured bacterium. RNAcentral describes it as "partial 16S ribosomal RNA". It matches the Rfam family "Bacterial small subunit ribosomal RNA", at positions 524 to 776 of the family's 1533-position model. The record is from RNAcentral.
UACGUAGGGUGCGAGCGUUAAUCGGAAUUACUGGGCGUAAAGGGCGCGUAGGCGGUCCUGAUCGUCGGAUGUGAAAGGCCUGGGCUCAACCUGGGAACUGCAUCCGAUACGGCGGGACUGGAGUGUGGGAGAGGUUGGUGGAAUUCCCAGUGUAGAGGUGAAAUUCGUAGAUAUUGGGAAGAACACCGGUGGCGAAGGCGGCCAACUGGACCACAACUGACGCUGAGGCGCGAAAGCGUGGGGAGCAAACAGG